CAGCCGCCGCGGGAAAACGGAGGGGGCUAGCGUUGUUCGGAAUUACUGGGCGUAAAGCGCACGUAGGCGGCUUGGUAAGUUAGAGGUGAAAGCCUGGAGCUCAACUCCAGAAUUGCCUUUAAGACUGCCGAGCUAGCAGGUGAGAGAGGUAAGUGGAAUUCCGAGUGUAGAGGUGAAAUUCGUAGAUAUUCGGAAGAACACCAGUGGCGAAGGCGGCUUACUGGCUCAUACUGGACGCUGAGGUGCGAAAGCGUGGGGAGCAAACAGGAUUAGAGACCCCUGUAGUCCCUGUCUCUUAUAC
This 301-nucleotide ribosomal RNA is filed under the name uncultured bacterium. Its description in RNAcentral is "partial 16S ribosomal RNA". It matches the Rfam family "Bacterial small subunit ribosomal RNA", at positions 509 to 807 of the family's 1533-position model. The record is from RNAcentral.